RNAcentral lists this ribosomal RNA (750 nucleotides) under Actinomycetes bacterium. RNAcentral's name for it is "bacterial SSU rRNA". It matches the Rfam family "Bacterial small subunit ribosomal RNA", at positions 807 to 1513 of the family's 1533-position model. The record is from RNAcentral. Lineage: Bacteria; Bacillati; Actinomycetota; Actinomycetes.
UGAUGAGUGCUAGAUGUAGGGAGCAUAAGUUCUCUGUAUCGGCCAGGCUAACCGCCAAUUAAGGCACUUCCCGCCCUGGGGGAGGUAACGAACCGGCAAGGGUUGAAAAACUCCAAAGGGAAAUUGACGGGGGGGCCCGGCACAAGGCGGUGGAGGCAUGUGGGUUUAAUUUGGAGGCAACGCGAAGAACCUUUACCAGGUCUUUACAUACUCGUGCUAUUCCUAGAGAUAGGAAGUUCUUUCGGGACACGGGAUACAGGUGGUGCAUGGUUGUCGUCAGCUCGUUGUCGUGAGAUGUUGGGUUAAGUCCCGGCAACGAGCGCAACCCCCUAUUGUUUAGUUGCCAUCAUUUAAGGUUGGGCACUCUAACGAGACUGCCGGUGAUAAACCGGAGGAAGGUGGGGAUGACGUCAAAUCAUCUUGCCCCUUAUGACCUGGGCGUACACACGUGCCUACAAUGGAUGGUACAACGAGUCGCGAGACAGUGUUUUUUAGCUUUUUCUUUUGAUUGAAACCAUUCUCAGUUCGGAUUGUAGGCUGCAACUCGCCUACAUGAAGUCGGAAUCGCUAGUAAUCGCGGAUCAGCACGCCGCGGUGCAAUACGUUCCCGGGCCUUGUACACACCGCCCGUCACACCACGGGAGUUGGGAGUACCCGAAGUAGGUUGCCUAACCGUCAAGGAGGGCGCUUCCUAAGGUAAGACCGAAUGACUGGGGUGAAGUCGUAACACAGGUAGCCGGUAAUNGGUAG